RNAcentral lists this ribosomal RNA (503 nucleotides) under uncultured bacterium. Its description in RNAcentral is "partial 16S ribosomal RNA". It matches the Rfam family "Bacterial small subunit ribosomal RNA", at positions 30 to 523 of the family's 1533-position model. The record is from RNAcentral.
AUUGAACGCUGGCGGCAGGCUUAACACAUGCAAGUCGAGCGGGGUGAUGGUGCUUGCACUAUCACUUAGCGGCGGACGGGUGAGUAAUGCUUAGGAAUCUGCCUAUUAGUGGGGGACAACAUCUCGAAAGGGAUGCUAAUACCGCAUACGUCCUACGGGAGAAAGCAGGGGAUCACUUGUGACCUUGCGCUAAUAGAUGAGCCUAAGUCGGAUUAGCUAGUUGGUGGGGUAAAGGCCUACCAAGGCGACGAUCUGUAGCGGGUAUGAGAGGAUGAUCCGCCACCAUGGGUCCGAGACACGGCCCAGACUCCUACGGGAGGCAGCAGUGGGGAAUAUUGGACAAUGGGGGGAACCCUGAUCCAGCCAUGCCGCGUGUGUGAAGAAGGCCUUAUGGUUGUAAAGCACUUUAAGCGAGGAGGAGGCUCUUUUGGUUAAUACCCAAGAUGAGUGGACGUUACUCGCAGAAUAAGCACCGGCUAACUCUGUGCCAGCCGCCGCCGUAA